GACGAACGCUGGCGGCGUGCUUAACACAUGCAAGUCGAACGGUGAAGCGCCUUCCUUUUUGGUGGGUGUGGAUGAGUGGCGAACGGGUGAGUAACACGUGAGUAACCUGCCCCCUUCUGCUGGAUAACCGCAUGAAAGUGUGGCUAAUACGGGAUAUUCUGGGUCUGUCGCAUGAUGGGUCUGGGAAAGUUAUUGUUUGGGUGGGGGAUGGGCUCGCGGCCUAUCAGCUGUUUGGUGGGGUGGUGGCCUACCAAGGCGGGGACGGGUAGCCGGCCUGGGGGGGUGGACGGUCAGACUGGGGCUGAGACUCGGCCCAGACGCCUACGGGAGGCAGCAGUGGUGACUAUUGCACGCUGGGCUCGAGCCUGUUGCAGCGACGCCGCGUGAGUGAUGGAGGCCUUCGGGUUGUGAGCCUCUUUCGCCAGUGAAGCAAGCCUGCCUCGUUUGUGAGUAGGUUGACGGUAGCUGGAUAAUAAGCUCCGGCUAACUACGUG
Molecule: ribosomal RNA, 494 nt
Filed under: uncultured bacterium
Lineage: Bacteria
Description: partial 16S ribosomal RNA
Rfam family: Bacterial small subunit ribosomal RNA
Source: RNAcentral